Molecule: ribosomal RNA, 492 nt
Filed under: uncultured bacterium
Lineage: Bacteria
Description: partial 16S ribosomal RNA
Rfam family: Bacterial small subunit ribosomal RNA
Source: RNAcentral
AGUGAACGCUGGCGGUAGGCCUAACACAUGCAAGUCGAACGGCAGCACAGUAAGAGCUUGCUCUUACGGGUGGCGAGUGGCGGACGGGUGAGGAAUACAUCGGAAUCUACUUUUUCGUGGGUGAUAACGUAGGGAAACUUACGCUAAUACCGCAUACGACCUACGGGUGAAAGCAGGGGAUCUUCGGACCUUGCGCGAUUGAAUGAGCCGAUGUCGGAUUAGCUAGUUGGCGGGGUAAAGGCCCACCAAGGCGACGAUCCGUAGCUGGUCUGAGAGGAUGAUCCGCCACACUGGAACUGAGACACGGUCCAGACUCCUACGGGAGGCAGCAGUGGGGAAUAUUGGACAAUGGGCGAAAGCCUGAUCCAGCCAUACCGCGUGGGUGAAGAAGGCCUUCGGGUUGUAAAGCCCUUUUGUUGGGAAAGAAAAGCAGCAGGUUAAUACCCCGCUGUUCUGACGGUACCCAAAGAAUAAGCACCGGCUAACUUCGUG